This is an unclassified non-coding RNA of Panthera tigris altaica (Amur tiger), 266 nucleotides long. Its record names the gene 7SK. It matches the Rfam family "7SK RNA". Rfam says of the family: 7SK was discovered as an abundant small nuclear RNA in the mid-70s but a possible function has only recently been suggested. Two independent studies have found that 7SK RNA binds the CDK9/cyclin T complex (known as elongation factor P-TEFb). The record is from Ensembl. Lineage: Eukaryota; Metazoa; Chordata; Mammalia; Carnivora; Felidae.
UGCAGUGAUGGUGAUCUGGCUCUGACGUCAGUUACCCCAUUGAUCCCCAGGGUUGAUUUGGCUGAUCUGGCUGGCUAGGCAGCUGUUCCCUUCCUCUCACUCCUCUAUGUGCAUCCCUCCUAAAGUUGCAUGCUCUGUUGAAGAGGAUGACCUUCCUCUAUAGAGGAGGACCAUUCUUUGGUCAAGGGUAUAUGACUGAAGUCAUGACUGAAAUUGUUAUUCUUGAUAAAAUGGAAGGCCAUGGAUGGAAAACUGAGGAGUGACAU